This 306-nucleotide long non-coding RNA is filed under the name Brassica napus (rape). RNAcentral describes it as "long non-coding RNA (BNAP_LNC020947)". The record is from RNAcentral. Lineage: Eukaryota; Viridiplantae; Streptophyta; Magnoliopsida; Brassicales; Brassicaceae.
UCAAAAAUUAAAAUGACCAAAAUAACAUUUUAUCUUUUAAAAAAAUUAUUAUUAUUUUUUUUUCAAAAUUCGAAAUCUUAUCCCAAAACCUCAUUCCCCAACUCUAAACCUUAAAACCUAAACUCUAAACCUUAAACCCUAAACUCUAAACUCUAAACCCUAAAUCCUAAAUCCUAAACUCUAAACCCUAAAUCCUAAACCCACCCCUUAAAUCUAAACCCUAAACCCCACUCCCCAACUCUAAACCCUAAACUCUAAACCCUAAACCCUAAACCCUAAACCCCACCCCUUAACUCUAAACCCUAA